AAAGAAUUGAAAUAUGUCUACCUUCAAAUUAUUUAAUCACCCUAGAACAAAUUAGAUUUGGUGGCUGUGAGGGCAAAAACACAACAACAUAUUACAAAACACAGCAAAUGUUUUUCUUUUCUGAAACAGAUUUUUUUGUUAGAUAUUUUUUUUUCUUUUUUUCUUAGUUAAAUGCUGUGUUUUCUGAAAUGUUGUAUAUUGAGUCAACUUGUUGUACUCUAGCCCUUUGCCGCUCCUUAAAAAGGGAGCCAGAUAAAAAGAAAAAAGAGGCAUUUAUAUUUAAACCUCCUGUGUAACCUGAUAGACAUCCAGUGACAGUGGCCAUCUUUUAUUGUUAUGCACACCACCUGCCAGAGUUUUUUAUUCAGAGAUAGGUAAGUUACGAGAUGUCCUGAUCAGAUAACCUGCUGCAGGAUGUCUUAAUCCUUUUGUUCUUUCAAGAAAUAGGUCAUUACCUGAUUGUAGGUGUGCACUGAAUUACCCCUUCGAGAGGUCAUGUGACUCCAAAUACAAAGGGGGCCAGUCUUCAUCAGACUUAUCUGACGGUGUUCAGAAGGAGGAAUCAUUUCAAAACAAAAUCACACUGUUGAUAGUGUGGAGAUAAGACGUGGGGAUAAUUAACUGUGUAUUUAGACUGAGUGAAUCCCACCUGCCCUCCUCUAUUGGCUGCUGGUAGGGGGUGGAGGUUGUGGCUGUAAACUGUGAAGCCUUGCUGGUGUGUUAUCCAAAGGGGCCGCCGUGUAUAUAAAAAGGUGGUGGCAGGUGUUUUUCAACAUAAAGUCGAUGAAUGAUGUGGGUUCUCUUCUUUCUGAGUGCCUUGUUGGGGGCGUUGGGGUCAGAGGAGUCGACCUCUGGAGCUGCUCCGCAGCUUCAAGCUCUCCACUGCCCGCCCUGCGAGCAGAUCCACUGCUCCUCCCGCCGGGCGCUGAAGCUCCAGUGUAAAGGCGGCGUGACGACAGGCGUGUGCGGCUGCUGCCCCGUCUGCGCUAGGGUGGAGGGGGAGAGCUGUGGAGGAACAUGGGACUAUCUGGGCAAGUGUGACGAGGGGCUGGUGUGUGUCUACCAGGACUCAGCAGCUGACAGGCCAGACGCAGAGCGCGCAGGGAUCUGUGAAGCGGUGAUUAACUUGGAUCCAGAGAGCUGCCAGCCAGAGUGCACCAGGGAAUACUGUCAGGCCAACCCCUCUGAAAUCUGCUCUGCCAGGUUUGUGUCUCUGGAGAAGACAACGUGCCAGGGCUCCUGCCAACACACCUCCUGUUCAAGCUGUCUGCUGCUGAAACCCCCGUCCUGUCCUCAGACCUGCAACCACUCUGAUGCGUCCUGUCUGCACCGCUUUGGGAAGUGUGUGCACAACCACCUGACAGCCACUCACAGUCACAUGUGCCACAACAACCUGCAGGGUCAGUCUGAGGGGCAUUUUCGGUGUUUGGUCCCAGCCUGUCUGACAGAGUCAAACUAAUUCCACAAGACUGGAAACCCAGAGAAAACAAGCCCGUGUAGCAAAAUUGAAAAAAAGGCAGCUAUCUAUAAAUAUGUGUGUAUAAAUGAAAUAUCAUUUUGUAUGAAAUAUAAAGUUGAGUAAAAACCUGUGACAUUUUAUGUUUUUUUUUUUAAAUAAUGAGAAAAUAAAAUUCCAAGUGUGUACUCUCUUUUUUUAUUGAUUUGUUUGGGACAAUGGUGUGAUGUUUUAACCAUUGAUGGUUGUGUUGGUCGACCUCUUCCAAGUUUUUUUAUGAGGCUGUCACUUGUUGUACAUUCCGUUGCCUUUCUUUUUACAAGUUGACUUUAAGAGAUACGCAGAAGAAUUCCAAUGUAACUGUACUGUCCUGUACCUUUGCAAAUGGUAAUAAAAAUCUAAUCUCCAAUCUCUCUAAUCAGUAAGCUUCUGUGUCAGGUUUUAGCAGUCGUUUUUACAUAGUUUAUUCUAUUUUUCUACCUGACUACAAGAAUAAAUCCCCCCGCGGACAUAAAGGUUCACUAGUUAAAUGAUACACAACACCUGUGCUGCAUGUGAAAUGCCUGAUUUCACUCUGUACUGGGACUCAGUUGA
This is a long non-coding RNA of Sparus aurata (gilthead seabream), 2050 nucleotides long. The record is from Ensembl. NCBI's taxonomy places the organism in Eukaryota, Metazoa, Chordata, Actinopteri, Spariformes, Sparidae.